Solanum lycopersicum (tomato) is the source of this 111-nucleotide non-coding RNA. NCBI's taxonomy places the organism in Eukaryota, Viridiplantae, Streptophyta, Magnoliopsida, Solanales, Solanaceae. The record is from RefSeq and is a predicted model, not a curated record.
UUGAAGCAUUCAAAAAAUCGGUCAAGGACGAGUUCGCUGAUUUGAGAAAAAUGCUUGAAGACAAAUUCAAAACAGUGUUGGAAGCCAUGAAUUCAAAGGUUAAUGUCGUCG